UCCAGCCUGCCCGGUGACUAGAUUUAACGGCCGCGGUACCCUAACCGUGCAAAGGUAGCACAAUCACUUGUUCUUUAAAUGAGGACUAGAAUCAACGGCAUCACGAGGAUCCCACUGUCUCCCCCCUCCAAUCAGUGAAACUGAUCUCCCCGUGAAGAAGCGGGGAUACAAAUAUAAGACGAGAAGACCCCAUGGAGCUUUAAACCCAACAGCACCCGUUUAUUUUCAUCCUCACAUAAGUUAGGUUAUGCCUGUUUGGUUUUAGGUUGGGGUGACCACGGAGUAUAAAACAACCUCCAUGAAAAAAGGACCAAAAAUCCUUAUUAGAGAAAGACAUUUCUAAAAUUAAUAAAUUAAUUUUUAAUGAUCCGAUAUUCGAUCAACGAACCAAGUUACCCUGGGGAUAACAGCGCAAUCCACUUCAAGAGCUCCUAUCGACAAGUGGGUUUACGACCUCGAUGUUGGAUCAGGGUAUCCUAGUGGUGCAGCAGCUACUAACGGUUCGUUUGUUCAACGAUUAAAACCCU
Molecule: ribosomal RNA, 527 nt
Filed under: Boophis elenae
Lineage: Eukaryota; Metazoa; Chordata; Amphibia; Anura; Mantellidae
Description: partial 16S ribosomal RNA
Rfam family: Bacterial large subunit ribosomal RNA
Source: RNAcentral